GAUGAACGCUGACAGAAUGCUUAACACAUGCAAGUCAACUUGAAUUUGGGUUUUUAACUUAGAUUUGGGUGGCGGACGGGUGAGUAACGCGUAAAGAACUUGCCUCACAGCUAGGGACAACAUUUAGAAAUGAAUGCUAAUACCUGAUAUUAUGAUUUUAAGGCAUCUUAGAAUUAUGAAAGCUAUAAGCACUGUGAGAGAGCUUUGCGUCCCAUUAGCUAGUUGGAGAGGUAACAGCUCACCAAGGCGAUGAUGGGUAGCCGGCCUGAGAGGGUGAACGGCCACAAGGGGACUGAGACACGGCCCUUACUCCUACGGGAGGCAGCAGUGGGGAAUAUUGGACAAUGGACCGAGAGUCUGAUCCAGCAAUUCUGUGUGCACGAUGAAGUUUUUCGGAAUGUAAAGUGCUUUCAGUUGGGAAGAAAAAAAUGACGGUACCAACAGAAGAAGUGACGGCUAAAUACGUGCCAGCAGCCGCGGUAAUACGUAUGUCACAAGCGUUAUCCGGAUUUAUUGGGCGUAAAGCGCGUCUAGGUGGUUAUGUAAGUCUGAUGUGAAAAUGCAGGGCUCAACUCUGUAUUGCGUUGGAAACUGUAUAACUAGAGUACUGGAGAGGUAAGCGGAACUACAAGUGUAGAGGUGAAAUUCGUAGAUAUUUGUAGGAAUGCCGAUGGGGAAGCCAGCUUACUGGACAGAUACUGACGCUAAAGCGCGAAAGCGUGGGUAGCAAACAGG
This 735-nucleotide ribosomal RNA is filed under the name uncultured Fusobacterium sp. RNAcentral describes it as "bacterial SSU rRNA". It matches the Rfam family "Bacterial small subunit ribosomal RNA", at positions 28 to 776 of the family's 1533-position model. Lineage: Bacteria; Fusobacteriati; Fusobacteriota; Fusobacteriia; Fusobacteriales; Fusobacteriaceae. The record is from RNAcentral.